RNAcentral lists this ribosomal RNA (419 nucleotides) under bacterium. RNAcentral's name for it is "partial 16S ribosomal RNA". It matches the Rfam family "Bacterial small subunit ribosomal RNA", at positions 355 to 776 of the family's 1533-position model. The record is from RNAcentral.
UGGGGGAUAUUGCACAAUGGGCGAAAGCCUGAUGCAGCGACGCCGCGUGGGGGAUGAAGGCCUUCGGGUUGUAAACUUCUUUUGCUCUGAACAAGGCGCACCAUGGGGUGUGUUGAGUGUAGGGGUUGAUUAGCGCCGGCUAACUACGUGCCAGCAGCCGCGGUAAUACGUAGGGCGCGAGCGUUGUCCGGAAUUAUUGGGCGUAAAGGGCUUGUAGGUGGCUGGUUGCGUCUGUCGGGAAAUGUCAUGGCUUAACUGUGGGUUUGCGGUGGAUACGGGCUGGCUUGAGUGCAGUAGGGGAGGCUGGACUUCCUGGUGUAGCGGUGCAAUGCGCAGAUGUCAGGCGGAAUACCAGUUGCGAAGGCGGGUCCCUGGUCUGUUACUGACACUGAGGAGCGAAAGCAUGGGGGGCGAACAGG